AAGGGCACCACAAGAACGCGUGGAGCAUGUGGCUUAAUUUGACUCAACGCGGGAAAUCUUACCGGGUCCGGACACACUGAGGAUUGACAGGCAAUAUUGAAUUAUUUUUAAUAAUUCAUGUAUAAAUAUGCUAGUCCUUUCAUGAUUAUGUGAUAGGUGGUGCAUGGCCGUUCUUAGUUCGUGGAGUGAUCUGUCUGCUUAAUUGCGUUUCACAUAGGGCCUAUAAACACGUGUGUUGCACUUUCUCUUUGACCCCUUCUUCCUUUUUGGAUUUAGCGUGUGUCUUUGAGGAUUAUGCUCGCACAAGUAGGUCCUGAAAGCAACGAACGUGACCGCAACCUCUUGUUGUCCUUUACACAAUCCUUCGCUUUUGUCUUUUGACUUUCGCGGAGUAACAGGGACUAUCUAAACUAGAGGGACCGCUGUAAUCUUUUUAAACCAGAGGAAGGUUGCGGCAAUAACAGGUCUGUGAUGCCCUUAGAUGUUCCGGGCUGCACACGUGCUACAAUGAUUAUUGCAGUGAGCAUCUCAUACUACACACCGCUUGCGCGAAGUCACUUUUGCGUAUCUCAAUUCGUAAUUGUGAUCUUUUGCGCGCGGUAAAGCCUGCUUCGAAAGUAAGCGGGUAAUCAAUUAGAAGUAAUGAUUUCCUUUUUUUCGCACACAUAUAUACGGCAUUGUUACCCGGAAUAGGCUCGUUCUUAUUUUUUGUGUGUAUCAAUGUUCCGUAUGUGCAAUUGUCAAUUCAUGGUGGGGACAGACCAUUGUUAAUUGUUGGUCUCGGUCUUAACUAGGAAUGCCUUGUACGGGUCUUUGGUUCAACAGACCACCCGGAAUACGUCCCUGCCCUUUGUACACACCGCCCGUCGCUCUUACCGAUGGACUUCUCUGUGAGUUUGAGGGACUGGAACUUUGUAUUUUUAUGCAAUACCUCUAUGGAAACUUAAACGAACAGUGUGGUCUAAAGGAAAGAGAAGUCG
Molecule: ribosomal RNA, 980 nt
Filed under: Reophax sp. 7845
Lineage: Eukaryota; Foraminifera; Lituolida; Reophacidae
Description: SSU rRNA
Rfam family: Eukaryotic small subunit ribosomal RNA
Source: RNAcentral